RNAcentral lists this ribosomal RNA (484 nucleotides) under uncultured bacterium. RNAcentral's name for it is "partial 16S ribosomal RNA". It matches the Rfam family "Bacterial small subunit ribosomal RNA", at positions 30 to 507 of the family's 1533-position model. The record is from RNAcentral.
AUUGAACGCUGGCGGCAGGCCUAACACAUGCAAGUCGAGCGGAUGAAGGGAGCUUGCUCCUGGAUUCAGCGGCGGACGGGUGAGUAAUGCCUAGGAAUCUGCCUGGUAGUGGGGGAUAACGUCCGGAAACGGGCGCUAAUACCGCAUACGUCCUGAGGGAGAAAGUGGGGGAUCUUCGGACCUCACGCUAUCAGAUGAGCCUAGGUCGGAUUAGCUAGUUGGUGGGGUAAAGGCCUACCAAGGCGACGAUCCGUAACUGGUCUUAGAGGAUGAUCAGUCACACUGGAACUGAGACGCGGUCCAGACUCCUACGGGAGGCAGCAGUGGGGAAUAUUGGACAAUGGGCGAAAGCCUGAUCCAGCCAUGCCGCGUGUGUGAAGAAGGUCUUCGGAUUGUAAAGCACUUUAAGUUGGGAGGAAGGGCAGUAAGUUAAUACCUGGCUGUUUUGACGUUACCAACAGAAUAAGCACCGGCUAACUUCGUG